This 362-nucleotide ribosomal RNA is filed under the name uncultured bacterium. RNAcentral's name for it is "partial 16S ribosomal RNA". It matches the Rfam family "Bacterial small subunit ribosomal RNA", at positions 338 to 697 of the family's 1533-position model. The record is from RNAcentral.
CCUACGGGUGGCAGCAGUGAGGAAUAUUGGUCAAUGGACGCAAGGCUGAACCAGCCAAGCCGCGUGAAGGACGACGGCUCCAUGCGUUGUAAACUGCUUUUGUACGAGGGUAAACGCAGAUACGAGUAUCUGUCUGAAAGUACCGUACGAAAAAGGAUCGGCUAACUCCGUGCCAGCAGCCGCGGUAAUACGGAGGAUUCAAGCGUUAUCCGGAUUUAUUGGGUUUAAAGGGUGCGUAGGCGGGCGGUUAAGUUAGGGGUGAAAUCCCGGGGCUCAACUUCGGAGGUGCCUCUGAUACUGGUCGGCUAGAGAGUAGGUGCGGUAUGCGGAAUGUAUGGUGUAGCGGUGAAAUGCUUAGAGAU